AUACCCAAGAGCUCUAGAGAAAUCGUACUGAUUGCGUAGUAGCCGUAGUCUUAUGUACUUACGGCCAGCAUAUUUUACAUCACGAAGUAUUACUUUUAAUUAGUGAACUUUUUAAUUAUUGCUUGAAUCGCAAACAUAUCAAUUACAAAGUUGUAGGGCACCUUAAAUAACCUCCAAAUCAAGCAUUUAUUUCGUGCUGAAGUGGUCCUGGUUCUUUCGAAGAAAAAAAAAAAAGCCCGCGAAAUACGAUAUAGGUGCGCACUCAUACGCCGCUACUCAAGCGCAUACAAGCAACCAUUGAAAAAUAUACGCCUGCAUUCUCUUAUCGCCGCAUCGUACAAGGCUCCGCAACGCGUAUCAAUGCGUCAGCGGCGUGUUCUCUUGGUCCCGUGGCUAUCACAUAGCGUGAAGCCCUGUAUCGAGCUGCCGCAGCUAGUAAAGCCGUGUAUCCGUGGCUAUUGUUGUGCCAUACUACGAGCACCACGAGGCGACGGGAGCGGCCAUACUACGUGCACCACGUGGCUUCCACGAGGCGACGGGAGCUCCCACUUCUCUGGGACGAAUCAAGAAUUCGACAUGGGAGGCGACUUCAAGAAGCGCCCAGCCAUCUUCCGGCGGGUGAUGUCAUCACCCUGCCCCGCAUGGUUGCUGCCGACGAGGGGUCGCCUAAGGGACUUAAGCAGGGUGUCUACUAACCGGGAAAAUCGGGAAUUCUCAAGGAUUUUGAGUAGUCUGGAAAAACUCGGGGAAAACUCGGGGAAUUUGUGCCUCUAUCAGGGAAAAUUAGCUGCAAUUUCAUUGAAAGGGUCGAAAGUCGCGGUAAUGCUCGCUCGAGUAGAAAUGGUAAUGAAUAGUCUUUGACGUCCAGUCGUCGGCUGGAGGAGUUGCCAAAGUACAGUCAACGACCGACUAUCCGGAUUCCCGAUAAUUCAGACGGCUUCGCGGCACCACCAGUACCCCAUAGAGUCAAUGUAUCGGAACGUCUGAAAUUCCGGACGCAAAACUCUUCACCAUCCGAUUUUCGGGACGUUUUGCCGUGACCGCAGGUCCGAAACGGCAUUAAUAAAAACCACCACUGCUGCCAUUUUGAUUACCUCGCCGCCUCAAACGCGCGCUCGCACGCAGAUCCACUGGCAGCCGUAGCCACCACUGCGGCAACGCUAGGCCUAGCUGUUUCGACGUUCGCUAUGAAGGUUCUUGCCCUUGGGUGCCGUGUUUUUUAUUGAAAGAAUUCGCUGCUGUCAGCAAUGGCACGGACUCUGCCUUUGCGGUCCUCGCGAUUGGCUUAGAAGCGUGGAUAGCACGUUGCGUUGCAUAAUGCCGGUUCCCGAAAGUCAGCUUCGCCUCCGUAGAGAAAUGUCACUUUGGUGAAGCAUACGGAAAAGUAUUGCAGUGAAGCAUAACAAGCGUGGGAAGGGGCUACUGCCACGGGAUACAGUAUGCAUUCCUUAUAUAAUUAUACACGCGUGUACCCGGUAUUUCCUCUCACAGUACGAGCACCGAUAUGCCUAAUACGUGUAGCGACAAGCCUUCAGAGCGUUUUCGAAUGUGCCUGUGGCGGUUUGAGCCCUUAAGGGCAAUAAAUGACAUGCAUUUAUUUUUUUAGAACUGGCCAAUUUUUCGGACGUUUUCGCGGCCCCUAAGGAGGUCAAAAACUCGGACGUGGACUGUGGAACUGACCAAGAAGAUGCUUCAAAAUGGUCCGUGGGGCGAACGAGGGGCGGAAGGAGUACAAGAACAGAAAGGACCAAUGCAUUGAGGAAUGAAUGGGAAAGGAAGCGUGCUGCCGCCAUUUUGAAGGAGCUUGAGCUCAAAAAACAGUGUUGGCUGAUGCAGAGAUGCAAGUGUCCCUCAUCCAAACCAAAACAAACUCUUUGAAGUAGUGAAACACAACACUGAGGCGUCGUGCGCGGGCUGAGAGUAUGUCAAGACAGUUGAGGUUGACUUACGAGCUGUUGCGAGAGAAUGUCAGUUGUGACACAGUUCGGGCCUCAUACCACUGAGCUUGCUAUCACUUGAUAGAAAUGGCUCAUAUUCGAAAAUAUUUGCUUUUGUUUGCAUCUCCUUUUUUAUUCGUACUUGAGAAUGUCCGACUCGAUUUGCAAUUUUUUUCAAAUACAUUUUAUUUGCUGUGCACUUUACUAACCCCUCCCUUCUAUUCUCUUUUUGAAUAACAUAAACUCUACUCCUUAGUAUUCAAAUUGGAUUAAGUCGUUUUUUAAUUUUUUUCAUAUGCUUACUAGAUAGUAACAGCAUCGGGCGAUAUGGUUUCAGCUCGUCUUGACAUAAAACAUAGUUCUGCAUCACUCAGGGAAUUUUGCAAAGGCACUCGGGGAAAACCUGGAAAACUCAGGGAAUUUGGAAAUGUCAACUUGGUAGACACCCUGUUAAGGGAGAACCGGUCUAUUUUGAGAGGAGAGAGUCGCUUCCAGCCUCCCAGUCGCUCUGAUGUGCUCUUACUGCUACCUGUACGCUAUCAUCCACUAUCUGUAAAUAUUGUAUAAAGUUUUUUCGUUUCUUCUUCGUCUACGGUACGAGUCCGUCUAUCGUCCUCCACCCCGAAGUUGCAAGAGUGGAUGGCGAGCUGUGGGAUUCGAAGCCAGAUAAUGCCCGUUACACCGCUCAACGACAGCCACGAGGACCACCGGCGUCUGGUACUUUGGAGGGGGUGAGUGCCCGACGUUUGCCUUUCGCAUCGCCAGACCUUUGUCGCACACGUAAAUGCUAAGAACCAUUGCUCAAGUAUUCUGAAAGGGUUGUAGUGGUUUUGUCCUAGUUCGCUUCAGGCCUUGCAUAGAUUUGCGGCUUCGGAAACAAAGGUAAUUUAGAGGCAAAACCGGAGACGAUGGAGAUCACGAUGGAGAAGCUCAGGAUACAGGACCUUCUUGAUGUUUGUCAGGAGAUGGGCAUUUCGGUUGCCACGGCAAGGCGAAAGAAAGCCAUUCUGGACGUUAUGAGGGCACAAGAGGUAACUGAGGAGGAAGUUGAAGAGGUUUGGGGAGAAAUUCUUGAGAGGUGAAGCGAGAAAAAAAUGCGCGACGAGGCAGAAGAAAAGGCGCGAAGAGGCAGAGGAGCAGAAAGGGCGCGACGAGGCAGAGCAGAAAAAGCACGAGGAGGCAGAGGUGAGGAAAAGGCGCGAGGAGGCAGGCGAGAGAAAAAGGCGCGAAGAGCGAGAUUAUGCUCUCAAAAUGAGAGAACUAGAAAUAGAGCAAAUUCGAAUCAGCUUGGCGCGUUCAAGUCCCCUUUCCGCUGGAGACGAUACGCCUAAACUGAGAAUACAGGGCCUGAUGCUACCGUACAGGAUAGGCGGUGAUAUCGCACUUUUUCUGGUGAAUUUCGAACGUACGUGUGAAGGCUGGACGAAAGCAUUUGGUCUCAAAAACUCGUUUCAGUUGUCCCAAAAGAGGCCGCGGAAGUUCGCGCACCCUUGUCUAAAGAAGACCUCUCUGCCGAAAUGCCUCUCUGCCGAGGCAUUUCGACAGCGGUUUAGACAGGCAAAAAGGGGCAGCGAGUUGCACACUGAGUUCGUGUACGAGUUAGUCUAACUUAAAAGAGUGGCUAAAAAGUGCAAAAGUGUAUGGCAACGACGACAAGGUGCUUGAAUGCAUAGCACAGGAGCAGUUUUGUCGAGUUCUUCCAGAGGAAGUUAGACUUUGGCUGCAGGACAGGCUCCCAGAGGUAGACCUAGAGAAGGCAGCGCAGCUCGCGGUGAAAUAUUACACGCGUUGAAACUUCCAAGGAAAACCGAUUCAGGAAGAUAGGCUAGAAACAAAGGGCUAUUCUGUAAAGCGGUUUUCCUCUCACAACCCAGUUUUGCCAAAUAAGAAAUCAUCGAUGAGCGACAAGUUCAGCAAGGGAGUAUCAACUAAGGCUGAGGUGGCGAGGGAAGGGCUAGCAGAGACAGCCCAGUCGGCUGGGGCCGCUAAAGCUAAGGCAUACGCAGAGCGCGCGUUCGAGGCCCGGAGACCAAUUAUCUGCUUCCGUUGCAACAAGGAAGGCCAUAUUUCCUUAAAUUGCAAGGAGCAAAUCACGUUCGCCAGCAUUAGCCAUUCGGACGAAAAUCUGAGGCUGCUCGAGCCAUAUAUCCAGAAGGUCGUGGUAAACAGGAACAUGUGCCGGGCACUUCGCGAUUCCGCCACCACCAUGGAUGUUACUCAUGCGUCCUGUGUUUUUCCCGGAGACUAUAUAGGGGAAUGCGCCUGGAUCAGACAAGUCGCAGAAGAGCGGAGCACGUGCUUGCCAUUUCCCAGGGCAACCCUCGAGGGCGCGUUUGGAAGGUUGCAAAAGGAGGCAGCCGUGAGUCCAAGUUUACCCGAAGACUUUUCAUAUCUUUUUUCAAACAAAUCUGAGCAGCUUUUAGAAAAGGAGGGCCGGUCGUUCUCUGCCAGUGUCUCGUGCAUGGCAUUAACGCGAUCGCGGUCGCGCGCCCUCUCAAAGAAACCUGAAAGCUCGCCUUCAAACGAGUAAAUUACCGACAAUGUAACGUCCUCAUAGCGGCUGUCUAGGCCGGGAGAUACGGCUGAUGGAAAGCAGAUGACUCAGACUGGUGAUGGAUCAAUUACCGGAUCAGUGACAGUGAGUGAGGAGCCUUUCGAGACUCGGGAAAAUGGGGCGCCUAGGGCUGAAGUGGAAGGUUCACUGCUUAGUCCCGCAUCCUUUUGCUGGGAGCCGCUUAUUAGGGUUGAACGAAAGGCGCUUAUCGUGGCACAGAAAAGUGACCCUUCGCUAACUGGGCUGCAUGCUAAUGUAAAUGAAGGAGUGGCCCGAACGAAAUGUAGAACGAGAUGUUAACAUCUCGUUCUACACUAUAAUAGGCCAGGUCUCAAGUACCGGAAAUAUCAGGAUUUUAAGGGUCGGACAUACAACCAACUACUCGUGCCAGAAAAGUACAGACCACAGCUUUUAGAGUUAGCACAUGGGAAUGUUUGGGCGGGUCACUUCGGUAUCCAGAAGACAAAGGCUAGGCUAGCGCAAUAUUUAUAUCGGCCAGGAUGCUGGAAAGAGGUUGCAACACUUGUUCGGUCAUGCGACGCAUGUCAGCAAGUUGGUGAACCUAAUGACAAGUGACAGAAUUUUACUCGGAGCGAGACAGGGCAAAAUAUAAAUUUUCUUCGAUGGCCUCAGCUGUGUCUUGCCUGGCCAAAUGGCUUAAGAAUAGCUUCGCAAUAUAUUCUUUAGCUGUUUAUUCUCUUUGAAUGUGUCUUCCUUGAGAGCACUAUUUGUGGAGGUCUGUAUGCCGGGCUCUUUAUCGUGUGCGUGUUUCGUGUUCAGUACAAUAACCGUAAUGGUGCUGUUAGAGCACCAUUGGAGCGUUUGAGGGGGUUAGAGCGUUUGUUUUCAUGGAGUUUGGUCUGGCGUUGUGGAGAGCAUUGGGAGGGUGCUCACUUUCACCGAAGUGAUUGGCGUUGAUUUUCGGUCACUCCGUGAGCUUUCUCAGAUCCAAGCAAAGACCAACGGAUGAAAGAGCGGCAAAGCCAUUUCCUUGCCCCCAUCAAGGAUGUCACUCAAUCAGCACAUCGCAUACGUCGAGCCGCGUCGAACAGCUCGACGUCUGGAUGUAUUAUCUGGCGGUGGGGGGGCUGUUGUGCCGUACUACGAGCACCACGCGGCAACCACGAGGCGACGGGAGCGGCCAUGCUACAUGCACCACGUGGCUACCACGAGGCGACGGAUGCUCCGACUUCUCCUCGACGAAUCAAGAAUUCGACGCGGGCGGUGUCACCACCCUGCCCCGCCUGGUUCCUGCCAGCGAGAACUCGCCCAAACUGGUUCCUGCCUACGAGGGGUCGCCAAAGGGAUUUAAGGGAGAAUCGGCCCAUUGUGAGAGGAGAGAGUCGCUUCCAGCCGCCCAGUCGGUCUGAUGCGCUCUUACUGCUACUGUACGCUAUCAUCCACUAUCUGUAAAUUUCUUUUUCGUCUACAGAACGAGUCCGGCUAUCGUCCUUCACCCCGAAGUCACAACACUAUUCGCUUGGGAGCGCUUGAGUAGCGGCGUGCGAGCGCGUAUCUAUUUCGUAUUUUGGAUGUAUCGCGCGCUUUUGUUUUUUCUCGGAAAAACCAACGAGGCAAAGCUGAGCACUAAACAAAUGCUUGAUUCGGAGGUUAUUUGAGGGGCCCUACAACUUUGUAAUUGAUAUGUUUGCGAUUCAAGCAAUAAUUAAGAAGUUCACUAAUUAAAAGUAAUUAAGUAAUACUUCGUGAUGAAAAAAAUACUGGCCGUAAGUACAUAUGACUACGACUACUAUGCAGUCGGUACGAUUUCUCUAGAGCUCUUGGGUAUCUUGACAAUCUUGUCCAAGUUAGCUGGGACACCCUGUAUAUAUGGGCAAAGAUGGACUACAUUGUAUUCUAAAGGAGCCAAAGGCUGAGCUUAUACUGACCCACAACGACCCAAAUACGAAAAAAAAAAUAUACUGAGAUCUGUGACGUCACAAGGACGUACCGGUGCUGAGGUAAAGGCGCGAGAUUCAGUCAAAUUUUACCUUCAUUUUACCCUCCAACGUACAACGAAUUGCCGCUAAGUUAAACGAAAAUAGAAUUGUGGAAAAUGCUUUAUCAAUUUAAACUGAUUUAGUGUUUCUUUUGAUGUCUCUUUAAACACCAUAAGUUGUGAUUUUCUUUUCGAUAACUGCACCAAACUUCGUGUGUAUUGUUACAAAUAUGAACCACAUAUUCCCCACUGUCGCACAAUAUCUUGCUCGUAUAGACUUGUCGAUUAGUCGCUUUCUUCUUUUUAUUGUUAUUACCCGUCAUGGUGGCUUAAUUAUAUAGUGGCUGUGGCGUUGCGCGGCUAAGCACGAGGUCCCGGGAUGAAAUUCCGGCCAGUGUUCGCAUUUGAGUGCGAAUUGCAAAAACGUCCGUGUACUUAGACUUAGGUGCACGUUGUUGUGCCAUUACCACCAGCUCGGAUUCCGAAUCUACAAGAUGCAGAAUUUAUCCUGCGAACGCCCUUUGGACAAACCCGGGGCUGCGCCGAAAGGCACAGCGCCCGAAUUCUCCUUGGACAAGUCAAGAUGCUGAUCCGUUAAGCAGCGGAGUCCUGAGGAGAAGCAUCGGCAAGCGACAUGUCCAAACGUGCAACAAUGUGCCAGACAGCCCGGCGCCGUAUUUCCUUUUGCCUCCCCGACGCCGCCGCCUGGAAAACCGGAUCCGCCGACCCACCGGGAGCUGAGUGCCGCUCUCGAGUGGAGUGAGAUGUGUCACGCGUUGCAGUCUCGCCGCACGUCGCCGUGCGGGAACAGUCGUGUUUGCUGUGAGCUCUUGGCCCCCGUGCCGAUCCGAUCUUGUCCUGUAUCAUGACCUGUAUAUAGUGUAUAAAGUCCCUUUCGUUAUUCUCA
Molecule: non-coding RNA, 7337 nt
Organism: Dermacentor andersoni
Lineage: Eukaryota; Metazoa; Arthropoda; Arachnida; Ixodida; Ixodidae
Source: RefSeq, a predicted model, not a curated record